This 474-nucleotide long non-coding RNA is filed under the name Carica papaya (papaya). Its description in RNAcentral is "long non-coding RNA (CPAP_LNC007455)". Lineage: Eukaryota; Viridiplantae; Streptophyta; Magnoliopsida; Brassicales; Caricaceae. The record is from RNAcentral.
AAAUUUCACAAAUCGCCUCCGAUGAGGCCCUUUUCGAUUCCCGUUUCGUGUAAUUUUUCUACCGUUGUGAUCACCGUUUUCCUCUCUACAGUUUGACCAAAGCAAAACACGCAAUCGCAAUGUGAGACGGAGGAGCCACUGCACCGGAGAGCCCCGCCAUCGGUGAAUUUUAAUUUUUCAUAUUUUUUCGGUCCACCGAGGUCCUUUAGCGUGUGUGCUCACAGGAAUCGAUGUAAAAUCGACCGAAUUUGGUCAAAAACAAUCGAACAAAGGUGGACCGCCGACACGGGCUAUGGCACCGUCGAUGGAGCACACGGAGCUGUCGUGCCAAGUUUUUGAAAUUGGCCGAGUAGGCUCUGGGACUGAUUUUUGGGUUUAUUUGGGACAUAUGUAGAUACCGUAAACACGUUUCAGUCCCCGAAGAAAAAUUCAAGGAACCUAGGGACCACCCGUAAACACAUUAAACUAUUUAGU